Non-coding RNA from Corylus avellana, 970 nucleotides. Lineage: Eukaryota; Viridiplantae; Streptophyta; Magnoliopsida; Fagales; Betulaceae. The record is from RefSeq and is a predicted model, not a curated record.
AUAAAUAAAGGCUACCACUUGCACGCCAGAAAUAACUACCCUCUUCGUCAAUUGAGUUAAUUUCAUGGUGGUUGGCGUUUAAGGCAAUGUUCCAUUUCCUCAUUUUUCUUCUUUCUUCUUCCUCUUCGUCUUUUUCUUCUUAUUCCCAUACAACAACGUAUCAUCCUGAUGACGUCUUUAAUCCUUUGGUCAGAAUCAGUACUGACCAGGUCAACUGAAGUUGUUGGCUUCUGAGCCAAUGUCAUCACCUUUGCUGGGAACGUAGGACCUAUGCUUCAAAAACGUAUGGCCAGGAGCUAACUCUGCCUCACCCUCAUGUGUGUGUGUAUAUAUAUAUAUAUGAUUCAUUAGCAUGGGCUAUCAGACAUGGAGUCACUGACUUCUUCUUCUUCCACACUUUCAGAGCCACAGGCCAAAAGCCAUGAAAACUCCCUUCUUUAAUUCAUGGCUCUUCUUGGUGCCCAGGUGCACUCUUUUCCUCAACUUCUCUACUGUCUUUGUGGUGUCCGGCCAAUGUAUGGGCAAUCAGCAGUCCUUGUUGCUCCAAUUUAAGCACUGAUUAUAGUUAUGAGGGGCAACAUCUCCAGGAUUGUCAUGAUAAAUUCUUGCUUUUUUAGUUUCAAUAUAAAUCAAAAUGACAAAAUGGAUGUACUUGGAUGCCAGCGUUUUCUUAAGUUGCAGAUAUAUGUUGCUCCAAGAGCUUACUUUGGAGGAAGUUUGCUGAAGUGGCAGUUAUGCUUAUUUGCUGAUAUACACGCUUCAUAAUUCACAGUACUUUUGUGUUGCUGUUAAUCAAGAUGAUUACCAGUAUACCUCUUCAUAUAUAGACAUGAACCUCUUUUAAUUCUAAUUAUUUUUCCUAUUUUAGUGCUUUAUUUUAGUGUUGCUUGUCCUUGGAAAGCAUAUGAGGAUGAAUCAUAUGCUUUAUUCCUAUGUAUGACAGUAUGAAUGAAAAUGGUUUCUGGCUCCA